This 768-nucleotide long non-coding RNA is filed under the name Brassica rapa (field mustard). RNAcentral's name for it is "long non-coding RNA (BRAP_LNC000440)". The record is from RNAcentral. Lineage: Eukaryota; Viridiplantae; Streptophyta; Magnoliopsida; Brassicales; Brassicaceae.
GAUCACAGGAUGCAAGGAUUUCAGACAGGUAUCUGGAGCAGCAGGUAAAAGUUAGUUCCUAGUUUUUCUCUCUCUAAAUUUCUCUCUCGAGUUAAAGUCUGCUUCCAUUGCAGGAUCAGUGACCAAGAUUGGACAGGCUUCCAUGAAUCAAAACUUAAUGGUGGUUGCCACCAAGUUCUGUUCACUUCUUUUUGACCUAUAUCCAAGAGUUCUUUGCGAAAGCAAGCCUUGAAGAUUGUCGCCUCCAAGUCCCAUUUCAAACUCUUUUUUUUUGAGUCUUUAUGAAUCAAGCCUUAAUGGUUUUAACCACCAAGUCCUGUUUCGACUCAUCCUAAUUAAACAAUAGAUCUAAUUUAUUUUUUUAUUAUUUUUUAUUAUUUAUUAUUAUUAUUAUUAUUUUUUUUAUUAUUAUUAUUAAAUACUCACUAACUAAUCUAGGGUCGAAAUCUAGAGAGAGAAAAUGUGAUAAAUAAUCAAAACCAGGGGUUACCUUCCAGACCUGUCUGAAGAAUCCGAUCCCAUGUAUACCAAGCCCCAAGACAAGCGGUUAUGUCAGGUUUAGUGUUGGAAAUCAGCUUUGGUUACUUCAUACGGUUCAAGGCAAGUGUGUAGUUGAUAGGUUGAUCCGCUUUAGCAUCUUUAGUGCUAUCUGCAAUCAGUAAAUCUAAAAUGGUGCUAAAGAUUGGUUUGAUAUUCAUGUUUAAAUCAAUAUAAGAUUAUAGUCCCUCUUUUCAAUAGCUAAGCAUAAUUUAUUUGAAAUUCUUUUUU